This 253-nucleotide ribosomal RNA is filed under the name uncultured bacterium. Its description in RNAcentral is "partial 16S ribosomal RNA". It matches the Rfam family "Bacterial small subunit ribosomal RNA", at positions 524 to 776 of the family's 1533-position model. The record is from RNAcentral.
UACGAAGGGGGCUAGCGUUGUUCGGAAUUACUGGGCGUAAAGCGCGCGCAGGCGGUUCUUUAAGUCAGGGGUGAAAGCCCAGAGCUCAACUCUGGAAUUGCCUUUGAAACUAGAGAACUUGGGUACGGGAGAGGUGAGUGGAAUUCCGAGUGUAGAGGUGAAAUUCGUAGAUAUUCGGAAGAACACCAGUGGCGAAGGCGGCUCACUGGCCCGUUACCGACGCUCAGGCGCGACAGCGUGGGGAGCAAACGGG